This 68-nucleotide transfer RNA is filed under the name Anaxandra taurina. Its description in RNAcentral is "tRNA-Trp". The record is from RNAcentral. Lineage: Eukaryota; Metazoa; Arthropoda; Insecta; Hemiptera; Acanthosomatidae.
AAAGCUUUAAGUUAAAAACAAAACUAUUAACCUUCAAAGUUAAAAAUAUUUAAAUAAUUUAAGCUUUA